CAAACCCUUGGUUAUCACAGUGGACCGACGUCCCUCUGUCCUCCGGCCUUGGAAACCACAGCUCCCUCUGUGUGGACCAGCUUUUCACUCCCGUCCCUCUGGCCAGCCUCUAGGAAUGCUUCGGGCUGGAACUCAGCUGUGCCCCCACAUCUGGACAGGACCCCCACCCACCACCCCUUCCCACUGCCUCCUGAGGCCCCGACACGUCCCCCCUGCCCUGGGCACAGGCCAGCUGUGGUGGCCUAGUGAUGGUGGCUGGAGAGGCACAGGGGGCAGGACGAGAAUGGGCCAGCAAUGGAAUGUGCUGCCUGUCUCCUCCCACACCGGGUGGGGAGCCUUUGUCAUAUCUGGGCUGUGCCCUCAUUCCCCCUUCUGCCUUCCCAGUGCCUGGAAGUGGUCUUUAGUUCUACCUCUGGCAGUUCUGUUCUUUUGUCCUGUCAUGAAGCUCUAACGGUGAGGAAUUCAAGCCCUUGUCACUGGAGGAGAGACCAGGGUGGGAGCACUCCUGAUGCCAGGGGAGACACGCUCAGAGUGCACGCCAGCACACAGGGUUGCUCUUCUGCAGUUGCAGCUUCCCGCGUGGGUCCCUUGCGGAGUUUGGGCUGCCUGUCCUCUUUUUUCACCCGGGGUUUGGGUGAGAAGAACAGCUGUCCUCGUCUUCUCAAGGAGUCUCACAAGUGGCAUCUAACUUGCUUUGAAGAAACACAUCCUCCGUAAAUAGCAAAUUUGGCAGGAAAGCUGGCUAAGGUCCCAUGAUUUCUAUAAAAACUGGUGUUCAUUUUACAUAAAAUGUCAAGUUGGUCUUUAAAUAGCAGUCUCUGAAGCACAAGCCAUUUUAUUAUCCAUUAAGUCACUUAGCAUCCACUAUACAGGUUUUCAAAGUUCUUUUCCCCAGAGGGGUUGCUGAUACACAGUAUGCUGGCGAAGGGUGGCAAGAUGAGAGGGGCGAGGCUGCUGAAAAGAAGAAUCCUGCAAGCAACGUCUCACUGCAUUUGCUUUAUAGUUCAGAGAAAAUGCAGACAUCGGAUUUGAGACAAGGAGUCAAGAAGGAAACCGCCAGAUGCUGUUGUAAACUCAGAGCCGUGUUCGGCGCAGUUUAGUGAGUUUAGUUUAUAGGUUUGGGACCAUAGUCGCUCCUACAUCUGACACCUGCGGUCCCAAGUGCAUUACUCUGCUUGCCCGCUGCCCAGGGCCCUGGGUCAGGCACAGACACAGUCAGAAAGAAGCUGUGAUCUCAGCUUGGUGGGGCUCUGUCUGGCUGGGGAGACCUAAGCACUCUCUGCACUGCCCAUACUCCUGGCCGGUGGAGGCCUUGCUCUUUAUCAUUUUAAAAUGCCACCAUAGGGCAGCCCCGGUGGCGCAGCGGUUUAGUGCCGCCUGCAGCCCAGGGCGUGAUCUGGAGACCCUGGAUCGAGUCCCAUGUCAGGCUCUCUGCAUGGAGCCUGUUUCUCCCUCUUCCCAUGUCUCUGCCUCUCAUUCUCUCUCUGUGUUUCUAUGAAUAAAUAAAAUCUUUAAAAAAAAAUAAAAUGCCA
RNAcentral lists this long non-coding RNA (1532 nucleotides) under Vulpes vulpes (red fox). RNAcentral's name for it is "lncRNA (ENSVVUG00000019879.1)". The record is from RNAcentral. Lineage: Eukaryota; Metazoa; Chordata; Mammalia; Carnivora; Canidae.